Molecule: ribosomal RNA, 483 nt
Filed under: uncultured bacterium
Lineage: Bacteria
Description: partial 16S ribosomal RNA
Rfam family: Bacterial small subunit ribosomal RNA
Source: RNAcentral
GACGAACGCUGGCGGCGUGCUUAACACAUGCAAGUCGAACGAUGAAGCCGGAGCUUGCUCCGGUGGAUUAGUGGCGAACGGGUGAGUAACACGUGAGCAAUCUGCCCUUGACUCUGGGAUAACUGCGGGAAACUGUAGCUAAUACCGGAUACGACACCUUGGGGCAUCCCAGGGUGUGGAAAGAAUUUCGGUCAAGGAUGAGCUCGCGGCCUAUCAGCUAGUUGGUGAGGUAAUGGCUCACCAAGGCGACGACGGGUAGCCGGCCUGAGAGGGGAAACGGCCACACUGGAACUGAGACACGGUCCAGACUCCUACGGGAGGCAGCAGUGGGGAAUAUUGCACAAUGGGCGAAAGCCUGAUGCAGCAACGCCGCGUGAGGUAUGAAGGCCUUCGGGUUGUAAACCUCUUUUAGCAGGGAAGAAGCGAAAGUGACGGUACCUGCAGAAAAAGCACCGGCUAACUACGUGCCAGCCGCCGCGGUAA